This is a long non-coding RNA of Aquila chrysaetos chrysaetos, 857 nucleotides long. RefSeq lists it as uncharacterized. NCBI's taxonomy places the organism in Eukaryota, Metazoa, Chordata, Aves, Accipitriformes, Accipitridae. The record is from RefSeq and is a predicted model, not a curated record. The transcript is spliced from 3 exons.
GCCCCGCUGAGGGGGUGCCGGGCGAAGCGGGCACCGGGGAGGGGGCGCGGCGCGGGUCGCCCCGCUGCCCGAGGGGCUGCAUUUCCUCGCCCAAGGUCAGGUGUGCGCUCCCCUCCCCCCGCGAGGGGCGAGAGACCCUUUUCUCCUCCAGCCUUUCGGAAGCGUUUCCCUGAGGCUGCGGGGAACCCGCCCCGGCGACGGGGGCUGCGGCGGACGAGGCUCCUCGGGACACUCUGUCUCCCGGCCGCCUGCCUGAUGGCAGCGAUCGAGCCCGGCUGGGCGAGGGUUCCCCUGACAAGCCGGUGCGCUGCGCUGCGCUGCCCUGCCGGGUUGUUGCUGCUGUUUCACUUUGCGCUUCCCUCGCUACCGUCUGCGAAGGUUAUAGUUAAUAUCAGAAUGGCUACCCUGAGCCAGUCCCUCUGUUGCUACUGGCAGUGGCCUAGCAGAUGCCUGGAAGAUGGUAAGCGCAUGGCGAUUCCUCCUUGGGAAAAUCUCCUUGUUACAGGGACAACCAUACAGGGAGGCCACAUGCGGUAGUUGGAAUAUUUUACAGGUGUAAGCUGUGAGUCUGCAUUUCAGGAAACCCUACAAGGAUGUUCUGCUGCAGAGAAGUAAAGACUGCAAGCUAGGACAUCCACUGUAAAAGCACCCCAGAAGAAGACCCACUUCAUGAAGCCUGGGUCUGUAUUGCUGUCCCCAGGAAGGUCUGGAGCUUCUGAAUUUGAAGAAACAGUAAAAAAGCAGAAGUCCAUACUAGGAGAAAAGCUGUUCUCUAUAGCAUGAUAACCCUGUCAGGAAACAGAAGACAAAGUCCUGCCUGAUCUAAAGCUGUGGAAAACCUUGAAUUCACAAGAAAA